CGGACUUGACAUGCAGGUGGUACCAAAGCGAAAGCUGAGGGACCCGCAAGGGAGCCUGUGCAGGUGCUGCACGGCUGUCGUCAGCUCGUGCCGUGAGGUGUUGGGUUAAGUCCCGCAACGAGCGCAACCCCUGUUCUUAGUUGCCAGCGCGUAAUGGCGGGGACUCUAGGAAGACUGCCGGUGCCAAACCGGAGGAAGGUGGGGAUGACGUUUACCGACAGCU
Molecule: unclassified non-coding RNA, 223 nt
Filed under: uncultured bacterium
Lineage: Bacteria
Description: contains 16S-23S intergenic spacer region
Rfam family: Bacterial small subunit ribosomal RNA
Source: RNAcentral